AUUGAACGCUGGCGGCAUGCCUUACACAUGCAAGUCGAACGGCAGCACGGGACUCGGGCAACUGAGCCCUGGUGGCGAGUGGCGAACGGGUGAGUAAUGCAUCGGAACGUGCCCAGUAGUGGGGGAUAACUAGUCGAAAGAUUAGCUAAUACCGCAUACGACCUAUGGGUGAAAGCGGGGAGUUUUCGGGCAACCGAGAACCUCGCGCUAUCGGAGCGGCCGAUGUCGAUUAGCUAGUUGGCGGGGUAAGGCCCACCAAGGCUUCGAUCAGUAGCUGGUCUGAGAGGACGACCAGCCACACUGGGACUGAGACACGGCCCAGACUCCUACGGGAGGCAGCAGUGGGGAAUUUUGGACAAUGGGCGCAAGCCUGAUCCAGCCAUGCCGCGUGCGGGAA
This 397-nucleotide ribosomal RNA is filed under the name uncultured bacterium. RNAcentral's name for it is "bacterial SSU rRNA". It matches the Rfam family "Bacterial small subunit ribosomal RNA", at positions 29 to 409 of the family's 1533-position model. The record is from RNAcentral.